Molecule: unclassified non-coding RNA, 364 nt
Filed under: fungal sp.
Lineage: Eukaryota; Fungi
Description: partial internal transcribed spacer region
Rfam family: Eukaryotic small subunit ribosomal RNA (bases 1-46)
Source: RNAcentral
AAGUCGUAACAAGGUUUCCGUAGGUGAACCUGCGGAAGGAUCAUUAUCACGUAUCCACGUACAAACCACUGUGAACUGUUCUCCCUUUCGGAGGUGCUGGGUUUGGCUAGAUCAAUAUCGCUUCGCUGUCGUGAUAGAAGUGUGGUCUAGCCGUUCCUGAACUCGCUUCAGGACGCCUGUAUCUUUGAAAGCGGUUAUUAUCACGCAACCUUAAACUUUAUUAACCCCUUUAACCUUUAUGAACUGAAAUUAAGCUUGAUGCGAAGGAGUGCCUCGGCAUUCUCGAAGUCAAGUCUUUAUUACGAAACUAAGAACAAUUCUUAACAACGGAUAUCUUGGCUCUGAUAACGAUGAAGAACGCAGC